GACGAACGCUGGCGGCGUGCCUAAUACAUGCAAGUCGAGCGAAGUUUUUCUGGUGCUUGCCCUAGAAAAACUUAGCGGCGAACGGGUGAGUAACACGUAAAGAACCUGCCUCAUAGACUGGGACAACUAUUGGAAACGAUAGCUAAUACCGGAUAACAGCAUUAACUGCAUGGUUGAUGUUUAAAAGUUGGUUUUGCUAACACUAUGAGAUGGCUUUGCGGUGCAUUAGCUAGUUGGUGGGGUAAAGGCCUACCAAGGCGACGAUGCAUAGCCGACCUGAGAGGGUGAUCGGCCACACUGGGACUGAGACACGGCCCAGACUCCUACGGGAGGCAGCAGUAGGGAAUCUUCCGCAAUGGGCGAAAGCCUGACGGAGCAACGCCGCGUGAGUGAAGAAGGAUUUCGGUUCGUAAAGCUCUGUUGUUAGGGAAGAAUGAAUGUGUAGUAACUAUACACAGUAGAGACGGUACCUAACCAGAAAGCCACGGCUAACUACGUG
This 499-nucleotide ribosomal RNA is filed under the name uncultured bacterium. Its description in RNAcentral is "partial 16S ribosomal RNA". It matches the Rfam family "Bacterial small subunit ribosomal RNA", at positions 28 to 507 of the family's 1533-position model. The record is from RNAcentral.